AGCUCCAAUAGCGUAUAUUAAAGUUGUUGCAGUUAAAAAGCUCGUAGUUGGAUUUCGGGGCGGCCUGUCUGGUCCGUCGCGAGACGAGUACUGGUCAGCCGCCCUUCCUCUCGAAAGCCCCGACUGCUCUUAACUGCAGUGGUCGGGUAGUUCGGGACGUUUACUUUGAAAAAAUUAGAGUGUUCAAGGCAGGCUCUGGCCUGAAUACAUUAGCAUGGAAUAAUGGAAGAGGACCUCGGUCCUAUUUUGUUGGUUUCUGGGGCCGAAGUAAUGAUUAAGAGGGACAGUUGGGGGCAUUCGUAUUUAAUUGUCAGAGGUGAAAUUCUCGGAUUUAUGAAAGACGAACAACUGCGAAAGCAUUUGCCAAGGAUGUUUUCAUUAAUCAAGAACGAAAGUACGC
Molecule: ribosomal RNA, 400 nt
Filed under: phytoplankton environmental sample
Lineage: Eukaryota
Description: partial small subunit ribosomal RNA
Rfam family: Eukaryotic small subunit ribosomal RNA
Source: RNAcentral